CACACUAUCAUUAACUGAAUCCAUAGGUUAAUGAGGCGAACCGGGGGAACUGAAACAUCUAAGUACCCCGAGGAAAAGAAAUCAACCGAGAUUCCCCCAGUAGCGGCGAGCGAACGGGGAGCAGCCCAGAGCCUGAAUCAGUAUGUGUGUUAGUGGAAGCGUCUGGAAAGGCGCGCGAUACAGGGUGACAGCCCCGUACACAAAAAUGCACAUGCUGUGAGCUCGAUGAGUAGGGCGGGACACGUGGUAUCCUGUCUGAAUAUGGGGGGACCAUCCUCCAAGGCUAAAUACUCCUGACUGACCGAUAGUGAACCAGUACCGUGAGGGAAAGGCGAAAAGAACCCCGGCGAGGGGAGUGAAAAAGAACCUGAAACCGUGUACGUACAAGCAGUGGGAGCUCGCUUAGGCGUGUGACUGCGUACCUUUUGUAUAAUGGGUCAGCGACUUAUAUUCUGUAGCAAGGUUAACCGAAUAGGGGAGCCGAAGGGAAACCGAGUCUUAACUGGGCGUUAAGUUGCAGGGUAUAGACCCGAAACCCGGUGAUCUAGCCAUGGGCAGGUUGAAGGUUGGGUAACACUAACUGGAGGACCGAACCGACUAAUGUUGAAAAAUUAGCGGAUGACUUGUGGCUGGGGGUGAAAGGCCAAUCAAACCGGGAGAUAGCUGGUUCUCCCCGAAAGCUAUUUAGGUAGCGCCUCGUGAAUUCAUCUCCGGGGGUAGAGCACUGUUUCGGCAAGGGGGUCAUCCCGACUUACCAACCCGAUGCAAACUGCGAAUACCGGAGAAUGUUAUCACGGGAGACACACGGCGGGUGCUAACGUCCGUCGUGAAGAGGGAAACAACCCAGACCGCCAGCUAAGGUCCCAAAGUCAUGGUUAAGUGGGAAACGAUGUGGGAAGGCCCAGACAGCCAGGAUGUUGGCUUAGAAGCAGCCAUCAUUUAAAGAAAGCGUAAUAGCUCACUGGUCGAGUCGGCCUGCGCGGAAGAUGUAACGGGGCUAAACCAUGCACCGAAGCUGCGGCAGCGACGCUUAUGCGUUGUUGGGUAGGGGAGCGUUCUGUAAGCCUGCGAAGGUGUGCUGUGAGGCAUGCUGGAGGUAUCAGAAGUGCGAAUGCUGACAUAAGUAACGAUAAAGCGGGUGAAAAGCCCGCUCGCCGGAAGACCAAGGGUUCCUGUCCAACGUUAAUCGGGGCAGGGUGAGUCGACCCCUAAGGCGAGGCCGAAAGGCGUAGUCGAUGGGAAACAGGUUAAUAUUCCUGUACUUGGUGUUACUGCGAAGGGGGGACGGAGAAGGCUAUGUUGGCCGGGCGACGGUUGUCCCGGUUUAAGCGUGUAGGCUGGUUUUCCAGGCAAAUCCGGAAAAUCAAGGCUGAGGCGUGAUGACGAGGCACUACGGUGCUGAAGCAACAAAUGCCCUGCUUCCAGGAAAAGCCUCUAAGCAUCAGGUAACAUCAAAUCGUACCCCAAACCGACACAGGUGGUCAGGUAGAGAAUACCAAGGCGCUUGAGAGAACUCGGGUGAAGGAACUAGGCAAAAUGGUGCCGUAACUUCGGGAGAAGGCACGCUGAUAUGUAGGUGAAGUCCCUCGCGGAUGGAGCUGAAAUCAGUCGAAGAUACCAGCUGGCUGCAACUGUUUAUUAAAAACACAGCACUGUGCAAACACGAAAGUGGACGUAUACGGUGUGACGCCUGCCCGGUGCCGGAAGGUUAAUUGAUGGGGUUAGCGCAAGCGAAGCUCUUGAUCGAAGCCCCGGUAAACGGCGGCCGUAACUAUAACGGUCCUAAGGUAGCGAAAUUCCUUGUCGGGUAAGUUCCGACCUGCACGAAUGGCGUAAUGAUGGCCAGGCUGUCUCCACCCGAGACUCAGUGAAAUUGAACUCGCUGUGAAGAUGCAGUGUACCCGCGGCAAGACGGAAAGACCCCGUGAACCUUUACUAUAGCUUGACACUGAACAUUGAGCCUUGAUGUGUAGGAUAGGUGGGAGGCUUUGAAGUGUGGACGCCAGUCUGCAUGGAGCCGACCUUGAAAUACCACCCUUUAAUGUUUGAUGUUCUAACGUUGACCCGUAAUCCGGGUUGCGGACAGUGUCUGGUGGGUAGUUUGACUGGGGCGGUCUCCUCCUAAAGAGUAACGGAGGAGCACGAAGGUUGGCUAAUCCUGGUCGGACAUCAGGAGGUUAGUGCAAUGGCAUAAGCCAGCUUGACUGCGAGCGUGACGGCGCGAGCAGGUGCGAAAGCAGGUCAUAGUGAUCCGGUGGUUCUGAAUGGAAGGGCCAUCGCUCAACGGAUAAAAGGUACUCCGGGGAUAACAGGCUGAUACCGCCCAAGAGUUCAUAUCGACGGCGGUGUUUGGCACCUCGAUGUCGGCUCAUCACAUCCUGGGGCUGAAGUAGGUCCCAAGGGUAUGGCUGUUCGCCAUUUAAAGUGGUACGCGAGCUGGGUUUAGAACGUCGUGAGACAGUUCGGUCCCUAUCUGCCGUGGGCGCUGGAGAACUGAGGGGGGCUGCUCCUAGUACGAGAGGACCGGAGUGGACGCAUCACUGGUGUUCGGGUUGUCAUGCCAAUGGCACUGCCCGGUAGCUAAAUGCGGAAGAGAUAAGUGCUGAAAGCAUCUAAGCACGAAACUUGCCCCGAGAUGAGUUCUCCCUGACUCCUUGAGAGUCCUGAAGGAACGUUGAAGACGACGACGUUGAUAGGCCGG
This 2701-nucleotide ribosomal RNA is filed under the name Escherichia coli. RNAcentral's name for it is "partial 23S ribosomal RNA". It matches the Rfam family "Bacterial large subunit ribosomal RNA". The record is from RNAcentral. Lineage: Bacteria; Pseudomonadati; Pseudomonadota; Gammaproteobacteria; Enterobacterales; Enterobacteriaceae.